UGUUUAUUCCGAUAAACAUCCGAGAGACGCACUGGUAUCUUGCUGUGAUCCAUGCAAGAAAUAUGGAGAUACAAGUGCUCGAUUCACUUGGUACUUCACAAGACCGCAUAGACCUCACUGACUCUAUUAAAGGACUGCAAAGACAAAUAGAUAUGAUAUCUCAACGUAAGGAGUUAAAAGACCACAGGUGGCCAGACCUCCAAGUUGCUUCUUGGCCGCUCAGAGAAAUAGACAUGGGAUAUGCAAAGCAGACAGAUAGCUCUUCAUGUGGCCUCUUUCUUUUGAACUAUAUCGAAUACUGGACAGGGGAUGAACUGUCUGACAGUUUUACCCAGGAUGACAUGUCACACUUUAGGAAAAAAAUGGCUGCUAUAUUACUAUCUUCAGACCUGAAUAAGAGAAGGGGGUGUUUGUUAUACAAAAAUGAAAAAGAAGUUGACUCUGGAAGCCCAUCUGAUGUUGAGAUAUUAGAAAACCCAACAGAUUCUAAUAAGAGGAAACUACUCCACGUGCUUGAUGAUAGCGAAGUAGUGUAUGAAGAUGAGGAAGGCCCUAUUACUCAAGCAGACUUGCAAAGGUGGUUUGUUGAUGAUUGGGAUAAAAGAGCUCCUGUAAAAGUCUCUACCGAUGGUUGCACCAAUGACUUUUUAAUGGUUGGUCUUUCCACAAAGGACAUGCCAGUGACCAAAGCCGAUUCAAUAGAUGUUUUAUGUGAUUAUAUCAUGGCAAUAGAAGACGAUACGACACUAGAG
This 752-nucleotide unclassified non-coding RNA is filed under the name Zea mays. RNAcentral's name for it is "misc RNA Zm00001eb177800". The record is from RNAcentral. Lineage: Eukaryota; Viridiplantae; Streptophyta; Magnoliopsida; Poales; Poaceae.